CAGUAGUCACGAGUUUGAUCAUGGCUCAGGAUGAACGCUAGCGGCAGGCUUAACACAUGCAAGUCGAGCGCCCCGCAAGGGGAGCGGCAGACGGGUGAGUAACGCGUGGGAACGUGCCCUUUGGUUCGGAAUAGCCUCGGGAAACUGGGAGUAAUACCGGAUACGGUCGAGAGACGAAAGAUUUAUCGCCGAAGGAUCGGCCCGCGUUGGAUUAGGUAGUUGGUGGGGUAAAGGCCUACCAAGCCGACGAUCCAUAGCUGGUUUGAGAGGAUGAUCAGCCACACUGGGACUGAGACACGGCCCAGACUCCUACGGGAGGCAGCAGUGGGGGAAUCUUAGACAAUGGGGGAAACCCUGAUCUAGCCAUGCCGCGUGAUCGAUGAAGGCCUUAGGGUUGUAAAGAUCUUUCAGUGGGGAAGAUAAUGACGGUACCCACAGAAGAAGCCCCGGCUAACUCCGUG
RNAcentral lists this ribosomal RNA (461 nucleotides) under uncultured bacterium. RNAcentral's name for it is "bacterial SSU rRNA". It matches the Rfam family "Bacterial small subunit ribosomal RNA", at positions 1 to 507 of the family's 1533-position model. The record is from RNAcentral.